Molecule: long non-coding RNA, 174 nt
Organism: Octopus sinensis (East Asian common octopus)
Lineage: Eukaryota; Metazoa; Mollusca; Cephalopoda; Octopoda; Octopodidae
Exons: 3
Source: RefSeq, a predicted model, not a curated record
UGAGGCAGUCUUUCAAGAGAAACAACUCAGCUUUGAAUCUGUUUGAAAUGCAAUGGAAAAAUAUGCCAGUUUCAAAACAUUGAUGUCCAGGUCUCAAAGGCAAAGUUUGACGGGAAUAGUUGUCAUUUCCUUUGAUUUCUAGAUAGAAGCAAAUAGGAAAUAACACAGACCAAA